UGCACAAAUACAAACAAAGAUUACUGAAUAACACAUUUAAUAUUUACUUUUUAACUUAUCUAAAUUUUCUAUCUUUGCAGACAUUUAAGACUCAAAAAUGUUAAUACUCACAAUGAUCAGAUCCAAGUGGUCCACUAAAUGUGCCUAAAUAAGUGUUCCAUGCCGAAGUCGUUUACUACCUAAAUGUUGGUUUUGUGUUAGAAAGAUGGUGGACAAUAAAUAGAUGAGUCUACCAUAUCUUGAGAAAGUCCCUCUGCUCAACUCAGGUGUAUUGAAUUUAACGGAAUUUUAAAGAGAAAGAUUGAAGAUAAGACACAUUGUAGUAGUCGUAUCAUGAACGUAUCUCACGGCCGAAGUCAUUUACCAUUUGCAGUGUGGUAUUUUUUUUUUUUGCAUAAAGAUGGUGGACAAUAAUAAAUAGAUGAGUCUACCAUAUUUUGAGAAAGUCCCUCUGCUCAACUUUGUAUUGAAUUCAACGGAAUUUUAAAGAGAAAGAUUGAAGAAUAACAAACAUUGCUUGUAUUUUACCUGGGAUUAAAACUUCACGCGAGUCCUACCGCAGAACCAAAACAAGUGUCCCAUGGCCGAAGUCAUUUACCAUUUGCAGUGUGGUAUUUUUUUUUUUUGCAUAAAGAUGGUGGACAAUAAUAAAUAGAUGAGUCUAGCAUAUCUUGAGAAAGUCCCUCUGCUCAACUCAGAUGUAUUGAAUUCAACGGAAUUUUAAAGAGAAAGAUUGAAGAAUAACAAACAUUGCUUGUAUUUUACCUGGGAUCAAAACUUCACGCGAGUCCUACCGCAGAACCAAAACAAGUGUCCCAUGGCCGAAGUCAUUUACCAUUUGCAGUGUGGUAUUUUUUUUUUGCAUAAAGAUGGUGGACAAUAAUAAAUAGAUGAGUCUAGCAUAUCUUGAGAAAGUCCCUCUGCUCAACUCAGAUGUAUUGAAUUCAACGGAAUUUUAAAGAGAAAGAUUGAAGAAUAACAAACAUUGCUUGUAUUUUACCUGGGAUCAAAACUUCACGCGAGUCCUACCGCAGAACCAAAACAAGUGUCCCAUGGCCGAAGUCAUUUACCAUUUGCAGUGUGGUAUUUUUUUUUUGCAUAAAGAUGGUGGACAAUAAUAAAUAGAUGAGUCUACCAUAUCUUGAGAAAGUCCCUCUGCUCAACUCAGGUGUAUUGAAUUUAACGGAAUUUUAAAGAGAAAGAUUGAAGAUAAGACACAUUGUAGUAGUCGUAUCAUGAACGUAUCUCACGGCCGAAGUCAUUUACCAUUUGCAGUGUGGUAUUUUUUUUUUUUGCAUAAAGAUGGUGGACAAUAAUAAAUAGAUGAGUCUACCAUAUUUUGAGAAAGUCCCUCUGCUCAACUUUGUAUUGAAUUCAACGGAAUUUUAAAGAGAAAGAUUGAAGAUAAGACACAUUGUAGAAGUCGUAUCAUGAAUGAGUGUCUCACGGCCGAAGUCAUUUACCAUUUGCAGUGUGGUAUUUUUUUGUUUUGCAUAAAGAUGGUGGACAAUAAUAAAUAGAUGAGUCUACCAUAUUUUGAGAAAGUCCCUCUGCUCAACUUUGUAUUGAAUUCAACGGAAUUUUAAAGAGAAAGAUGGUGGAAAAUAAUAAAUCUACCAUAUUUUGAGAAUGUCCCUCUUCUCAACUCAGAUCUCAUGAAUUCAACGGAAUGUUGAGGUUUGUAUGCUAUGCGUGUUGUAUGAUAGCAACCACUUAUAACACUACUCGACAAAAUUCAACUUUUUUUUCCUCAAGGAGCCAAACCGACUUUUUCUGAUAGAUUUGGGGUUUAAAAUUUUUGUUGGCAGGACUUUUAUUUGGUAAAAAAAAAUUAUAUAUUUUGUAUAUGCUUGUUUCAAAGAUAGCGCUUAUAUUUUUCACGUAGUUUAAGUACCUUAAAUCUCGUUUUGAUGAAUUCUUUGUAGCCUUAGGCUUUCAUAUGCAAAGUUUAUAAUUUUUGUUUUUUUUUUCUCUCAGAUUUUUGACUUAGAACUCUGGACAAGUUUAAAAAAAAUUGUAUAGUGUGUCUCUUAUAUAUUUUGUGUAUAGGUGCAUAAUUAGCCGUCGCUUUAAGUAUUGUUCAUACAAAAACGGAGAAAUGGCCAAGCUUAAAUUUAUCGUUUGGAACGUUGAUGGCGCAACUUUUUGGGCCUUUUCAAAAGGCACAAGAAAAUUGUACCAGCUUUUUGUCACAGGAUUUUUGAUUCGUGGUGACAUAAUAGAUAUAUCUGAAGAUAAAGCAUCUCAAAGUUGAGGUUUUCUAAUGUUUCUUCAUAUUUAGCAUUUUUUGUACCCGUACUUGAAGUUAAGAGUUAAGGGCUAUAUUAGAGUUGUGGUAAAAGUGGAUAUGUUUAACGCAGAGAAGUAAUCGUUACCGACCUCAUAAAGUAUAUAUAUUCUUGAUCAGCAUUAAUAACCGAGUCCAUAUAGCCAUGUUUUAUUUUAUUAGUUGAUUUGU
Long non-coding RNA from Drosophila obscura, 2458 nucleotides. RefSeq lists it as uncharacterized. The record is from RefSeq and is a predicted model, not a curated record. The transcript has 19 exons. Lineage: Eukaryota; Metazoa; Arthropoda; Insecta; Diptera; Drosophilidae.